AUGACCCUGCCGUGGCCCUCUCCUGGCCCUUCCUUGAUCCUGCCCUGCCCUUCCAUGCCCUGGCCUUGCCCUCACCCUGCAUUGGCCCUGCACUGGUCCUGCCCUGCCCUGGCACUGCCUUGGCCCUGGCCCUGCCUUCUUCCUGGCCUUGCCUUUGCCCUGCCCUGGCCUGACCCCAGGCCUACUGAGUCCAUGAAAUGGCCCUGGACCUGCCUUGCCAUCCUCUGUCCUGGCCCUAUAUUGUCCCCACCAUGCUCUGGUCCAGCGCUUGCCCUAGCCCUGUUGCUAGUCCUGCCACUGCUAUGGCCCUGCUCUGUUUUUGGCCGUGCCCUGUGCUACCCUAGCCCUGCCCUGCCUUGGCCUUGGCCCUACCAUGGCCUUCUCCUACCCUGGCCUGGCCCUACCCUGGCCUUUUCUACCCUGGCCUUGCCCUUCCCUGGUGUUGCCCUGCCCUGGCCUUGCCCUGCCCUGGCCUUGGCUUUGCCUUAUCCUGGUCCUGGUUCUGCCCUGACCCUGGCCUUGCUCUGGAUCCUCUCUGGUU
This 541-nucleotide long non-coding RNA is filed under the name Homo sapiens (human). RNAcentral describes it as "non-protein coding lnc-ANKRD20A3-4:4". The record is from RNAcentral. Lineage: Eukaryota; Metazoa; Chordata; Mammalia; Primates; Hominidae.